Molecule: non-coding RNA, 538 nt
Organism: Alosa alosa (allis shad)
Lineage: Eukaryota; Metazoa; Chordata; Actinopteri; Clupeiformes; Clupeidae
Source: the annotation of a RefSeq genome assembly
AGGAGCUAGAGAGAGAAGAUCAUGAUGACGUCACAAUGCCUACCCAUGGGAAACUUGUCUUCACAGGACAGACUUCAAAUUGUGUUACUUCAACAGACCUCACAGUUGCAAACCUCCGAAAUGAUCUUCUUUCUGGGCAUAUUACUUAUGGACCUAUCAGGUAACGCCUAUGGGAACAAAAUCACUCCAAUCAGUGAUGAACUCGACAUGGUUGAGGGACAUAAUUCAACCCUCUCCUGUAACAUUAGUUAUAGCUUUGGAGACUAUCCACAGUGGUAUCGACAGUACCCAAGAUCAGCACCUCAGUUUCUCUUGUUCAUCCUUAGUGAUAAGACAGAAACAUCAAAUGUGGAUCCUCGAUUCUCUGGGAGAAUGAAUAAGGAGAAAAGUCAAAUGUUCCUGGAGCUCACUGCAGAACUCACAGACUCUGCUCUCUACUACUGUGCCAUGAGGCCCACAGUGAAGGAAAUGGGCUAACUGUUGUACAAAAACUCACAUGGCAUGACAUCAGAUGAAAUACACCAUAUCUUACUCUGCA